UCCACAGUAGCUCAGUGGUAGAGCUAUCGGCUGUUAACCGAUCGGUCGUAGGUUCGAGUCCUACCUGUGGAGCCAU
This 76-nucleotide transfer RNA is filed under the name Staphylococcus aureus subsp. aureus PSP1996. RNAcentral describes it as "tRNA-Asn". It matches the Rfam family "tRNA". From Rfam's summary of the family: Transfer RNA (tRNA) molecules are approximately 80 nucleotides in length. Their secondary structure includes four short double-helical elements and three loops (D, anti-codon, and T loops). Lineage: Bacteria; Bacillati; Bacillota; Bacilli; Caryophanales; Staphylococcaceae. RNAcentral also lists the same sequence under 1 other name. The record is from RNAcentral.